AUACUUACCUGGACGGGGGUCUAUGGUGAUCAUGAAGAGCCAUGGCCUAGGUUAGUGGCCUCCAUUGCACUUGGGAGGAGCACUAGCUUACCAUCUCCCUAAAUGGGAGAGUGGACGUCAUAAUUUGUGGCGGAGGGGGUACGCGUUCGCGCGGCCCCUA
This 160-nucleotide small nuclear RNA is filed under the name Sorghum bicolor (sorghum). RNAcentral's name for it is "U1 spliceosomal RNA". It matches the Rfam family "U1 spliceosomal RNA". From Rfam's summary of the family: U1 is a small nuclear RNA (snRNA) component of the spliceosome (involved in pre-mRNA splicing). Lineage: Eukaryota; Viridiplantae; Streptophyta; Magnoliopsida; Poales; Poaceae. The record is from Rfam by way of RNAcentral.